RNAcentral lists this non-coding RNA (191 nucleotides) under Acidobacteriota bacterium. RNAcentral describes it as "Acidobacteria bacterium 6S RNA". It matches the Rfam family "6S / SsrS RNA". From Rfam's summary of the family: E. coli 6S RNA was the first non coding RNA to be sequenced, but its function was unknown until recently. RNAcentral also lists the same sequence under 1 other name. The record is from RNAcentral. Lineage: Bacteria; Pseudomonadati; Acidobacteriota.
GCCGGCCUGCAAAGUUUGUGCUGGUGAUCACCGUUAUUUGAACCAACAUUCAAAUGAACGGGAGCCCGACUCGAAUCGGCCUGGUGUGCAACGUUCCGUCAUGCGGAAAUGCCUAAAGGGCUGCGGAGGGCGCCCAAACUGUCUAACGACAGGUUCAUUAGCGGCUCACCUCACGGCCCCGUGGGUCGGCU